RNAcentral lists this ribosomal RNA (498 nucleotides) under uncultured bacterium. RNAcentral's name for it is "partial 16S ribosomal RNA". It matches the Rfam family "Bacterial small subunit ribosomal RNA", at positions 899 to 1397 of the family's 1533-position model. The record is from RNAcentral.
ACUCAAAUGAAUUGACGGGGGCCCGCACAAGCAGCGGAGCAUGUUGUUUAAUUCGAAGCAACGCGAAGAACCUUACCAGGGCUUGACAUCCACUGAAUCCUUCAGAGAUGAGGGAGUGCCGCAAGGAACAGUGAGACAGGUGGUGCAUGGUUGUCGUCAGCUCGUGUCGUGAGAUGUUGGGUUAAGUCCCGCAACGAGCGCAACCCUUACUGUCAGUUACCAGCGCGUUAAGGCGGGGACUCUGACGGGACAGCCGGGGUAACUCGGAGGAAGGUGGGGACGACGUCAAAUCAUCAUGCUCCUUAUGUCCUGGGCUACAAACGUGCUACAAUGGCUACAACAAAGGGAAGCAAGGGCGCAAGCCGGAGCGAAACCGAAAAAAGUAGUCUCAGUUCGGAUUGAGGGCUGCAACCCGCCCUCAUGAAGAUGGAGUUGCUAGUAAUCGCGAAUCAGCACGUCGCGGUGAAUACGUUCCCGGGCCUUGUACACACCGCCCGU